GUGAAUCAUCGAAUCUUUGAACGCAUAUUGCACUCUCGGGUAUUCCUGGGAGUAUGCCUAUUUGAGGAUCAUUUAAAAUAAUAUAAUUUUCUAGAUUUUCUUGAAAUCAAAAAUGGGUCGGUCCAGCUGUCGUGUGUGGGUCGCCUAGAAUGCAAGACAUGCUCAUGUCUUGGGUUGCGUGAUACUUGCAGUUACCUCGUGACUUCGCAAGAAAUCUGCGAGCGUGUGAAUAAUUGUGCAAGAAAUAAACGUCAUAUAUCUCGAUCUCCAUAUUUAAUUGAAUCAUGACCUCAAAUUAGGU
This 301-nucleotide unclassified non-coding RNA is filed under the name Ambisporaceae sp. RNAcentral's name for it is "partial internal transcribed spacer 2". The stretch from base 1 to 71 matches the Rfam family "5.8S ribosomal RNA", at positions 84 to 154 of the family's 154-position model. Lineage: Eukaryota; Fungi; Glomeromycota; Glomeromycetes; Archaeosporales; Ambisporaceae. The record is from RNAcentral.